This 610-nucleotide ribosomal RNA is filed under the name uncultured archaeon. RNAcentral describes it as "bacterial SSU rRNA". It matches the Rfam family "Archaeal small subunit ribosomal RNA", at positions 320 to 930 of the family's 1478-position model. The record is from RNAcentral.
GCCCUACGGGGUGCAGCAGGCGCGAAAACUUUACAAUGCUGGCAACAGCGAUAAGGGAACCUCGAGUGCCAGGUUACAAAUCUGGCUGUCGAGAUGCCUAAAAAGCAUUUCAUAGCAAGGGCCGGGCGAGACCGGUGCCAGCCGCCGCGGUAACACCGGCGGCUCGAGUGGUAACCGUUAUUAUUGGGUCUAAAGGGUCUGUAGCCGGCCGGAUAAGUCUCUUGAGAAAUCUGGCAGCUUAACCGUCAGGCUUUCAGGAGAUACUGUCUGGCUCGAGGCCGGGAGAGGUGAGAGGUACUUCAGGGGUAGGGGUGAAAUCUUGUAAUCCUUGAAGGACCACCAGUGGCGAAGGCGUCUCACCAGAACGGACCUGACGGCAAGGGACGAAAGCUAGGGGCACGAACCGGAUUAGAUACCCGGGUAGUCCUAGCCGUAAACGAUACUCGCUAGGUGUCGGCCACGGUGCGACCGUUGUCGGUGCCGUAGGGAAGCCGUGAAGCGAGCCACCUGGGAAGUACGGCCGCAAGGCUGAAACUUAAAGGAAUUGGCGGGGGAGCACCACAACGGGUGGAGCUUGCGGUUUAAUUGGAUUCAACGCCGGAAAUCUUAC